UAUGGCAGAAUAGUGCAAUGGAUUUAAACCCCGUAUAUAAAAUAAAAAAUUUUUAUUAAAA
This 61-nucleotide transfer RNA is filed under the name Andrena miranda. Its description in RNAcentral is "tRNA-Leu". The record is from RNAcentral. Lineage: Eukaryota; Metazoa; Arthropoda; Insecta; Hymenoptera; Andrenidae.